RNAcentral lists this ribosomal RNA (465 nucleotides) under Vreelandella stevensii. RNAcentral's name for it is "partial 16S ribosomal RNA". It matches the Rfam family "Bacterial small subunit ribosomal RNA", at positions 338 to 795 of the family's 1533-position model. Lineage: Bacteria; Pseudomonadati; Pseudomonadota; Gammaproteobacteria; Oceanospirillales; Halomonadaceae. The record is from RNAcentral.
CCUACGGGGGGCAGCAGUGGGGAAUAUUGGACAAUGGGCGAAAGCCUGAUCCAGCCAUGCCGCGUGUGUGAAGAAGGCCUUCGGGUUGUAAAGCACUUUCAGUGGGGAAGAAAGCCUUGGGGCUAAUACCCUCGAGGAAGGACAUCACCCACAGAAGAAGCACCGGCUAACUCCGUGCCAGCAGCCGCGGUAAUACGGAGGGUGCGAGCGUUAAUCGGAAUUACUGGGCGUAAAGCGCGCGUAGGCGGUCUGAUAAGCCGGUUGUGAAAGCCCCGGGCUCAACCUGGGAACGGCAUCCGGAACUGUCAGGCUAGAGUGCAGGAGAGGAAGGUAGAAUUCCCGGUGUAGCGGUGAAAUGCGUAGAGAUCGGGAGGAAUACCAGUGGCGAAGGCGGCCUUCUGGACUGACACUGACGCUGAGGUGCGAAAGCGUGGGUAGCAAACAGGAUUAGAUACCCUAGUAGUC